This 511-nucleotide ribosomal RNA is filed under the name uncultured archaeon. Its description in RNAcentral is "bacterial SSU rRNA". It matches the Rfam family "Archaeal small subunit ribosomal RNA", at positions 346 to 859 of the family's 1478-position model. The record is from RNAcentral.
ACCUCUGCAAUAAGCGAAAGCUUGACAGGGUUACUCUGAGUGAUUUCCGCUAAGGAAGUCUUUUGGCACCUCUAAAAAUGGUGCAGAAUAAGGGGUGGGCAAGUCUGGUGUCAGCCGCCGCGGUAAUACCAGCACCCCGAGUGGUCGGGACGAUUAUUGGGCCUAAAGCAUCCGUAGCCGGUCCUGCAAGUCCUCCGUUAAAUCCACCCGCUCAACGGUUGGGCCGCGGGGGAUACUACAGGGCUAGGAGGCGGGAGAGGCAAGCGGUACUCGAUGGGUAGGGGUAAAAUCCACUGAUCCAUUGAAGACCACCAGUGGCGAAGGCGGCUUGCCAGAACGCGCUCGACGGUGAGGGAUGAAAGCUGGGGGAGCAAACCGGAUUAGAUACCCGGGUAGUCCCAGCUGUAAACGAUGCAGACUCGGUGAUGGGCUGGCUUCGUGCCAACCCGGUGCCGCAGGGAAGCCAUUAAGUCUACCGCCUGGGGAGUACGGUCGCAAGACUGAAACUUAA